This 741-nucleotide long non-coding RNA is filed under the name Panax ginseng (ginseng). Its description in RNAcentral is "long non-coding RNA (PGIN_LNC015531)". Lineage: Eukaryota; Viridiplantae; Streptophyta; Magnoliopsida; Apiales; Araliaceae. The record is from RNAcentral.
CUUUCUCCAACAGGUGUCAUCUAAGAAAGUUUUAACUUACCAGGGGAUGACCUUUCUCCAACAGGUAUUAUCCAAGAUUGUUUCAAGUUUUAACUUCCCCGGGAAUGACCUUUUCUCCAACUGAAACACUAAUAUAAGACUAACCAUUUGCUAGUUCUUAUUACACAGAUAUUCGGCCCCAAUUUUUAAAAGAAUGGCAGCUGAGAGGUCAUCAGCUGCAUAUGCCACAAUCUGCAUCAUCUUUGCAAUGUUGGUAUUGAUGGGCAUAUCUGAUGGGGCUACGCACUCGUUUGCACCUGCCCCAUCUCUUUCUGGCAGGCCAACGUCCGCACCUGCUCCAUCUCCUCAUUCCCACCAUAAAAAAUCAUUUGGACCUGCUGCACCUCCCCAUUCCAGCCAUAAAAAAUUAUCUGGACCUUCUGCAUCUCCUCAUUCCGGCCAUAAAAAUAGUGGCACCUCAGUUGGUGCUGGAUUCUCUCCUCAUUUGCUGAUCUCGAUGAUAUCUACUUCAUUGAUAUUCAUUUUACCAUUGUGCUACUCUUUCUUCCACUAGCCUUUCCUCCAUGUUUUUCCCACUUCCCUUAAUAAGUAUGAUUGAAUUUGAUUGUAACCCGUGUUUUACUGUUUCCCCUAUCAUUGUGCUAUUUUUGUAAAGAUAAAUAAGUUUGGUGCCAGUUGUGUGGUAUCAUUUGUUGUAAUGGAAUUUAUGAUCUGAUUAUUAUUUUGUUUAAUUGUAAAGAA